GGUCCAGACUGGAUCAGAGGGCACCUGCCCCGAGAUGGUCCACUGACAGUGGGAGAGAAGGGUGGCCCCAUCUGCAGCCCUGUCCCCCUCAUCAUCCUGUGAGCACAAACCUCUCGUGGCUUCAACUGCUAAUGUCCAAACCAUUGACUUGAGGUCAGUGGUAACAUUUAAGGAACCUGCAAGGGUCAGGCCCUGUUUCCGACAUGUCACCCAAGAUCAGUUCUUCUAAUCUUCAGAACAGCUCUGUGAGGAACAGUACUUCCUGGCUGCCUGCCUCCCAGGGGACCAGGACGCGGAUGUGGGAGUGCUCAGGACCCGCUGUAAAGACGGUGAGGCCCAGGCAUGGAAGAAUGAGGCCAGAGGCCCAGGCUGCAGAUUUCAACAGGACCCACCCCCUGCUCACACAAUAAACACAAUGCAGGAGGCCACUCCUGUCCAAUGCCUGACCUUCCAACAACCGGGCAUGCUGUAUAUGCUGCCUGCGUCCUGCCCUUGCUGAUCUGGUCAUGGUAUCAUGGCUGGGAGAUGAGAGGAAAUGGUGGCCAGUCUGAUCCUGUCUCAAUUCCUGCCCUGUUACACCCCUCCUGGCACUUAUCAUAAACUGUCAUUUUAUUUAUUUGUUCCUGUGACUUGUUAAUAUCUGUCUUCUCUGACAGACUCCAAGCCAGGUAUUGGCAAACUUUUUCUACAAAGAGCCAGAUAGCAAAUAUUUCCAGCUUUGAGAGCCAUACCAUU
This is a non-coding RNA of Manis javanica (Malayan pangolin), 735 nucleotides long. NCBI's taxonomy places the organism in Eukaryota, Metazoa, Chordata, Mammalia, Pholidota, Manidae. The record is from RefSeq and is a predicted model, not a curated record.